UUCAGGACAAAUAAAGUCAUUGGCAAACAACUUGGAGUUGUGUUUGGAAAAAAGAUGACAUGAGGAAGAACAGUAUUGCACCUUCACUAUGGACCUUGAAUCCAUGAUCCAUGAAGAUGUAAUUAUCUAUGAACGAGAAGAAAUGAGAAGAUCAAGGCUGGAAUUAUGGAUCACCAACUACUAGAUAGUUUUUAUAUGGAUCGUCACUAGGUUCUUUGUAUUAUGUGUUUUAAGGAUUUUCUUAGUAGUCGAUAGCUUAUAAUAUUGUAAAUUUGAAGGCAUUGUGAAAUUUAAUUUUUU
This is a long non-coding RNA of Rosa chinensis, 300 nucleotides long. RefSeq lists it as uncharacterized. NCBI's taxonomy places the organism in Eukaryota, Viridiplantae, Streptophyta, Magnoliopsida, Rosales, Rosaceae. The transcript has 2 exons. The record is from RefSeq and is a predicted model, not a curated record.